GGGUUCAGGAAAGCAGGAAAGCGACGAAGGGCUCUACGGCCAACUCGCGAGAAAUACACAGGAAAAAGGGUUCCAUACGGAGAGCUGUCCGAUGAGCGCUUCCUUAUUUACGGGGAAGGCGGGAGGGGGGCGUGUGGUGCUUGUGUAAUACUUUACAAGGAAGGGGGGGGCUUCCUGCCACACUAAGAUUCCUAGGAAUAUCUAUUUGUUUGUUUGAAUAUAUAUGUUUUAUAUUAAUUUAUAGUCUGUUCUGACCAGGAGCCAUGAGAUAAAUAAAACCUCCAGGUCAAUAGGCAGUCUACCUCGGAAUAAUUUGAACAGAUAAGAAAUCAAGAUGAGUCAGAUAUAAAAGAGGAGUGGGAAUAUUUGGCAAAUAUUUAAAGAAAUAUAACAAUCAGAUAGGCUUCCAAGUGGGGUUAGAUAUAGGAGCAGCAGUUAAAAAUAAGCAGAAGAGGGAUGGUAAUUAAGGAGAUGCAGCUAAACAAGGACUAAGUUAGAACCCACCCACCCCUGAGGGAUGUGUGUGGAAGCCAAAGAGUGUAAGAUAAACAAUGACAAUUGUAUAACGGAUGUAUUAAGAUGUGUAAAAUGCAUUUCAAAUCACACACACACACACACACAGAAGUGGACAGGUUGGUGCUCCAUGGCAGUGGGGGGAGAGACUCCAUCAGGCAAGGUCUCUUUCCACCUGCCUUGCCCCCCCCCCCAGUCUCUGCUUCUCAUUUUGUAUUGUAUUAUGUUGUGCACUGUGGUUUGCUGCUGUUUAUUGAUUGGAGUUUAGAAAUUACUUAUUGUAACUGUUGAGUGGAUUUCUGUUUAAUUCUGAAAUGCUGAUAUUUAGGCAUGCAUAUUUGUGGUAUGAUAAGGUCAAAGCACAUAAAGCAUUUAGAAACCACAUUGUCAGGAAAGCGCUAUUUAAUGUUUGGAUAAGAUAUAAGGAUUUGCUAGAAAACAAAACCCCAAGGUGGCUGUCACCAAUGGAAGCGAAAGCCUUGAGAAAGGCCAAUAUGGAGGUCAAAUGGCCGAAAUAUUGGGAAAUUUUGGAACAAGACGGAGAUAGACUGAAAUUGCAGAGCUUUGAAAAAUUAAAAAACAAAGUGCGAGACUGGCUUCAUUAUUAUCAGAUAAUGGAGGCAUUUAAAUUGGACAAGAAAAUUGGCUUCCAGGUGGAAAGAUCUAAAUUAGAAACAGAACUGUUAGAACCCAGAACUAAGAAUUUGUCAAGAAUGUAUAACUUGCUGCUGAAAUGGAAUACUCAGGAGGAAACGGUAAAAUCGGCUAUGAUUAAAUGGGCACAGGACAUUGGACAUAACAUUAUGUUUGCUGACUGGGAACAGUUGUGGACCACAGGUAUGAAAUUUACGGCAUGUAAUGCCUUAAGAGAGAAUAUUAUGAAAAUGAUAUACAGGUGGUACAUAACCCCAGUCAAGCUUGCAAAAAUUUAUCACUUGCCCAAUAACAAAUGUUGGAAAUGUAAAGAAACUGACGGUACAUUUUUCACCUUUGGUGGACGUGCCCAAAGAUUAAGGCUUUCUGGGAAAUGAUAUAUAAUGAAUUUAAAAGGUAUUUAAGUAUACCUUCCCUAAGAAACCAGAGGCCUUUCUCCUGGGCAUAGUCGGCCAAAUGGUGUUAAAAAGGAUAGAACUUUCUUUAUGUAUGCAACAACAGCAGCAAGAAUACUUAUCGCAAAGUAUUGGAAGACACAAGAACUUCCCACGCUGGAGGAAUGGCAGAUGAAACUGAUGGACUAUAUGGAACUGGCGGAAAUGACUGGUAGAAUCCGUGACCAGGGAGAAGAGUCGGUGGAGGAAGAUUGGAAGAAAUUCAAAGACUAUCUUCAGAAACAUUGCAAAAUUAAAGAAUGUUAGAGUGAUGUUGGACUGAAAAUAAGCGGUUUCCAGCUGUACAGGUUAAAGUUAACGAUAGACUAAGAUUAAAGAUUAGGAUUAAAGAUGUUUAAAGAAAUGGAAAUUUGACAAUUAAGAGGGAAAAUUUUAAUGUUAUAUUAUACUAAGACUAAAGACCAGGUUUAAAGAAGUUGAAGUUAUAUAUUUCAAUAUUAUAUUAAAGUUAAAGAAAAGAAAUUGCUGGACAAACAAUUUGGAUUGGAAUACAAAAGAGGGAGGUAUGAGGAAGUCCAGAAGAGAAGUAAACUAAAAAACGGAAAUGGAAAAGAGAUAUUGUUUUUAAUUGUUAUGUUUUUUGUUUUUUAUUGUUGAAUCUUGUUUUGUGUGUGUGUGUGUGUUUUUGUUAUCCUUUUUUUGAGAUAUGUAUUGUGUAUGUUUUUCUUUUCUUUCUUUGUUGUUCAAAACUUUAAUAAAAAUUAUUUU
Podarcis lilfordi (Lilford's wall lizard) is the source of this 2330-nucleotide non-coding RNA. NCBI's taxonomy places the organism in Eukaryota, Metazoa, Chordata, Lepidosauria, Squamata, Lacertidae. The record is from the annotation of a GenBank genome assembly.